Molecule: non-coding RNA, 667 nt
Organism: Cyanistes caeruleus (blue tit)
Lineage: Eukaryota; Metazoa; Chordata; Aves; Passeriformes; Paridae
Source: RefSeq, a predicted model, not a curated record
AACUCUCUCAGCCCUUCCUCACAGGAGAGUUCUAUCCCCUCUGAUCAUCUUCAUGACCCCUCUCUCGAUUCAGCACCCCAGAUUUGGCUCAACUGGUAACGGCUUUUAAAAAGCUGGCUCUUGGAAAUCUUUUGGAGCUUCAUAGGAAGGAAAGUAUUCGCUGACAAAGGCAGAGCUGAGAGUGUGAAGCGUCACAAAACACCAGGGAAACUUAAUUUUCUGACAGGAAAAGAAAAAGCUUCUCUCUAUUUUGUUUCUUAAACUCGUAGAGAUACUGGUCUUCCUGUAUUAAACACCAGCACCUGGUACUUCCAAGUUACAAUCUCAAAACAAUGUUCCUCUGAAGAACAAGAGGAUACCUCCUGAAAUUCACAGGAAGAAGGGAAGACUUGGUAACAGAAGCCUUUGAUGCUCCCUGCACUGACUUAAUGGAAAUAUACAAUUAUUUCAUGUCUGCAUACUGGCAAUAUUCGAUAACCUCCUGGGGUUUCGUGCAAAUUCAAACUACCAUGGAGAAGAAAACAGAAGUCUGAAAAACUCUGUACAAGACAGCUCAUGCAACAAAGAUGUCACUUCCCACAAUAUGGAAUUACCAAACCUACUGUUACUGACAGGAGCAACAGCAUUUGCACCCCUGAGCUGUGAGACUAACAAAUAAUAAACACGA